Molecule: ribosomal RNA, 374 nt
Filed under: uncultured eukaryote
Lineage: Eukaryota
Description: partial 18S ribosomal RNA
Rfam family: Eukaryotic small subunit ribosomal RNA
Source: RNAcentral
CAAGAGCGUAUGUAAAAGUUGUUGCAGUUAAAAAGCUCGUAGUUGAACCUCGGGUUUGGUUGGCCGGUCCGCUUUUUUGCGAGUACUGGAUUCAACCGAGCCUUUCCUUCUGGCUAACCAGUCGUUUCGGCGGCUGGCGAACCAGGAUUUUUACUUUGAGAAAAUUAGAGUGUUCAAAGCAGGCAUUAGCUUGAAUAUAUUAGCAUGGAAUAAUAGAAUAGGACGUUAUGGUUCUAUUUUGUUGGUUUCUAGGACCAUCGUAAUGAUUAAUAGGGACGGUCGGGGGCAUCAGUAUUCAGUUGUCAGAGGUGAAAUUCUUGGAUUUACUGAAGACUAACUACUGCGAAAGCAUUUGCCAAGGACGUUUUCAUUAA